Molecule: ribosomal RNA, 198 nt
Filed under: uncultured Actinomycetales bacterium
Lineage: Bacteria; Bacillati; Actinomycetota; Actinomycetes; Actinomycetales
Description: partial 16S ribosomal RNA
Rfam family: Bacterial small subunit ribosomal RNA
Source: RNAcentral
UGCACUUCGGGAUAAGCCUGGGAAACUGGGUCUAAUACCGGAUAGGACGAUGGUUUGGAUGCCAUUGUGGAAAGUUUUUCGAUGUGGGAUGAGCUCGCGGCCUAUCAGCUUGUUGGUGGGGUAAUGGCCUACCAAGGCGUCGACGGGUAGCCGGCCUGAGAGGGUGUACGGCCACAUUGGGACUGAGAUACGGCCCAG